CAUGGCUCAGGAUGAACGCUAGCGGCAGGCCUAAUACAUGCAAGUCGAGCGGCAAGUCGAGGAGUAAUCUGAGACCUAGAGCGGCGUACGGGUGCGUAACGCGUAUGCAACCUACCUCAUACAGGGGGAUAGCCCGGAGAAAUCUGGAUUAAUACCCCAUGGCACAGCACAAGGGCAUCUGCGAGCUGUUAAAGAUUCAUCGGUAUGAGAUGGGCAUGCGUCUGAUUAGCUAGUUGGCGGUGUAACGGACCACCAAGGCGACGAUCAGUAGGGGUUCUGAGAGGAAGGUCCCCCACACUGGCACUGAGAUACGGGCCAGACUCCUACGGGAGGCAGCAGUAGGGAAUAUUGGGCAAUGGACGAGAGUCUGACCCAGCCAUGCCGCGUGCAGGAAGACGGCGUUCUGCGUUGUAAACUGCUUUUAUCUGGGAAGAAAAAGUCCAUGCGUGGAAAAUUGCCGGUACCAGAUGAAUAAGCACCGGCUAACUCCGUGCCAGCAGCCGCGGUAAUACGGAGGGUGCAAGCGUUGUCCGGAUUUAUUGGGUUUAAAGGGUGCGUAGGCGGCUAUUUAAGUCAGCGGUGAAAGACAUCGGCUCAACCGAUGCAGUGCCAUUGAUACUGGAUAGCUUGAGUGUUGGAGGGGUACAUGGAAUUGAUGGUGUAGCGGUGAAAUGCAUAGAUACCAUCAGGAACACCGAUAGCGAAGGCAUUGUACUGGCCAACAACUGACGCUGAGGCACGAAAGCAUGGGUAGCGAACAGGAUUAGAUACCCUGGUAGUCCAUGCCGUAAACGAUGAUUACUCGCUGUUAUGCCGUAGGGUGUAGCGGCCAAGCGAAAGCGUUAA
RNAcentral lists this ribosomal RNA (846 nucleotides) under Algoriphagus sp. RNAcentral's name for it is "bacterial SSU rRNA". It matches the Rfam family "Bacterial small subunit ribosomal RNA", at positions 18 to 863 of the family's 1533-position model. Lineage: Bacteria; Pseudomonadati; Bacteroidota; Cytophagia; Cytophagales; Cyclobacteriaceae. The record is from RNAcentral.